Zingiber officinale is the source of this 396-nucleotide long non-coding RNA. RefSeq lists it as uncharacterized. NCBI's taxonomy places the organism in Eukaryota, Viridiplantae, Streptophyta, Magnoliopsida, Zingiberales, Zingiberaceae. The record is from RefSeq and is a predicted model, not a curated record. The transcript has 3 exons.
CUGAGUAUCCUCCGACGGCGGUCUCAACUUCGUCUGGGCAGUUAGGCUGAGAUUUGGGGCAUGUCGAGUACGGCCGACUCGACCGUACCAACUUCGGCCGUCCUUACGGCGGCCUCCAAGCACAUUGCUUCGCGGUGUCGGGUACAAACCGGAGAAAUGCCACGAUCAGGGACGGCAGGCCACUAGCCGUGUCCUAAAUCUAAAAAACAAAUCGCUUUUUGACAUCUCUUCUAUUGUCUCUUCUUGAUAAUUAUUUCCCAAAGUUUCACGGCUGAAGGAUCUUCAUCAGAAGUGUCCUAAAGAAAAGAAAUGGAUGUACAUGCGAGCAGCGAGCUGUAUGUAUCACGACGCCAAUGAGUCCGAUCUGUGUCACAAAGAGCAGGAAGCAUUUGAGAA